UUGCCAGCCGCCGCGGUAAGACGGGGGGGGCGAGCGUUGUUCGGAUUUAUUGGGCGUAAAGGGUGUGUAGGUGGUUGCUUAAGUCGGACGUGAAAAUCCCUGGCUCAACCAGGGACCGGCGUUCGAAACUAAGCGACUUGAGUACGGGAGAGGAGAGUGGAAUUCCUGGUGUAGCGGUGAAAUGCGUAGAUAUCAGGAGGAACACCGGUGGCGAAGGCGACUCUCUGGCCCGAUACUGGCACUGAGGCACGAAAGCUGGGGGAGCGAACGGGAUUAGAUACCCCGGUAGUCCCAGCCGUAAACGAUGGGCACUAGGUGUAGGAGGUUUUUAUCCUUCUGUGCCGUAGCUAACGCGUUAAGUGCCCCCGCCUGGGGAGUACGGUCGCAAGGCUGAAACUUAAAUGAAUUGACGG
Molecule: ribosomal RNA, 413 nt
Filed under: uncultured bacterium
Lineage: Bacteria
Description: bacterial SSU rRNA
Rfam family: Bacterial small subunit ribosomal RNA
Source: RNAcentral